AUCAAACCGGGAGAUAGCUGGUUCUCCCCGAAAUCUAUUUAGGUAGAGCCUCGGAUGAAUACCUCAGGGGGUAGAGCACUGUUUGGGCUAGGGGGUCAUCCCGACUUACCAACCCCAUGCAAACUCCGAAUACCUGAGAGUACUAUCCGGGAGACACACUGCGGGUGCUAACGUCCGUAGUGGAGAGGGAAACAACCCAGACCGCCAGCUAAGGUCCCAAAGUUAUAGCUAAGUGGGAAACGAUGUGGGAAGGCUAAGACAGCUAGGAGGUUGGCUUAGAAGCAGCCACCCUUUAAAGAAAGCGUAAUAGCUCACUAGUCGAGUCGGCCUGCGCGGAAGAUGUAACGGGGCUAAGCUAUACACCGAAGCUGCGGCAAUAUGAUUUAUCAUAUUGGGUAGGGGAGCGUUGUGUAAGCCGUUGAAGGUGAGUUGAAAAGCUUGCUGGAGGUAUCACAAGUGCGAAUGCUGACAUGAGUAACGAUAAUGGGGGUGAAAAACCCCCACGCCGGAAGACCAAGGUUUCCUGUCCCAUGCUAAUCAGGGCAGGGUAAGUCGGCCCCUAAGGCGAGGCAGAAAUGCGUAGUCGAUGGGAAACGGGUUAAUAUUCCCGUACUUGUAUGUACAGUGAAGGGGGGACGGAGAAGGCUAUGCAAGCAUGGCGUUGGUAGUCCAUGUGAAAGUGAGUAGGCCGAGAACUUAGGCAAAUCCGGGUUCUUAAAGCUGAGACACGAGACGAGUUUCUACGGAAAUGAAGUUGCAGAUGCCCUGCUUCCAGGAAAAGCCUCUAAGCUUAUGUGCAUACGAACCGUACCCCAAACCGACACAGGUGGUCAGGUAGAGAAUACUAAGGCGCUUGAGAGAACUCGGGUGAAGGAACUCGGCAAAAUAGUACCGUAACUUCGGGAGAAGGUACGCCACUGACGGUGAAGGACUUGCUCCGUAAGCUGUUGGUGGUCGCAGUGACCAGGUGGCUGGGACUGUUUAUUAAAAACACAGCACUGUGCUAACUCGAAAGAGGACGUAUACGGUGUGACACCUGCCCGGUGCCGGAAGGUUAAUUGAUGGGGUUAGCGUAAGCGAAGCUCCUGAUCGAAGCCCCGGUAAACGGCGGCCGUAACUAUAACGGUCCUAAGGUAGCGAAAUUCCUUGUCGGGUAAGUUCCGACCUGCACGAAUGGUGUAACCAUGGCCACGCUGUCUCCACCCGAGACUCAGUGAAAUUGAAAUCGCAGUGAAGAUGCUGUGUACCCGCACCUAGACGGAAAGACCCCGUGAACCUUUACUACAGCUUGGCACUGGACAUUGACCCUACAUGUGUAGGAUAGGUGGGAGGCUUUGAAGCGUUGUCGCUAGAUAGCGUGGAGCCGACCUUGAAAUACCACCCUUGUAUGUUUGAUGUCCUAACUUAGCCCCAUUAUCUGGGGUGAGGACAGUGCCUGGUGGGUAGUUUGACUGGGGCGGUCUCCUCCCAAAGCGUAACGGAGGAGCACGAAGGUUGGCUAAUCACGGUUGGACAUCGUGAGGUUAGUGCAAUGGCAUAAGCCAGCUUAACUGCGAGACAGACACGUCGAGCAGGUACGAAAGUAGGUCAUAGUGAUCCGGUGGUUCUGUAUGGAAGGGCCAUCGCUCAACGGAUAAAAGGUACUCCGGGGAUAACAGGCUGAUACCGCCCAAGAGUUCAUAUCGACGGCGGUGUUUGGCACCUCGAUGUCGGCUCAUCACAUCCUGGGGCUGAAGUCGGUCCCAAGGGUAUGGCUGUUCGCCAUUUAAAGUGGUACGCGAGCUGGGUUUAGAACGUCGUGAGACAGUUCGGUCCCUAUCUGGUGUGGGCGUUGGAUGAUUGAGAGGGGCUGCUCCUAGUACGAGAGGACCGGAGUGGACGAACCGCUGGUGUUCGGGUUGUCAUGCCAAUGGCAUUGCCCGGUAGCUACGUUCGGAAUCGAUAACCGCUGAAAGCAUCUAAGCGGGAAGCGAGCCUCAAGAUGAGUCAUCACUGGACUUCGGUCCCUAAAGGGUUGUUAAAGACGAUGACGUUGAUAGGCAGGGUGUGGAAGCGUUGUAAGGCGUUAAGCUAACCUGUACUAAUUGCCCGUGAGGCUUAACCAU
This 2105-nucleotide ribosomal RNA is filed under the name marine metagenome. RNAcentral's name for it is "bacterial LSU rRNA". It matches the Rfam family "Bacterial large subunit ribosomal RNA", at positions 832 to 2925 of the family's 2925-position model. The record is from RNAcentral.